GAUGAACGCUGGCGGCGUGCCUAAUACAUGCAAGUCGAGCGAACAGACGAGGAGCUUGCUCCUCUGACGUUAGCGGCGGACGGGUGAGUAACACGUGGAUAACCUACCUAUAAGACUGGGAUAACUUCGGGAAACCGGAGCUAAUACCGGAUAAUAUAUUGAACCGCAUGGUUCAAUAGUGAAAGACGGUUUUGCUGUCACUUAUAGAUGGAUCCGCGCCGCAUUAGCUAGUUGGUAAGGUAACGGCUUACCAAGGCAGCGAUGCGUAGCCGACCUGAGAGGGUGAUCGGCCACACUGGAAGUGAGACACGGUACAGACUCCUACGGGAGGCAGCAGUAGGGAAUCUUACGCAAUGGGCGAAAGCCUGACGGAGCAACGCCGCGUGAGUGAUGAAGGUGUUCGGAUCGUAAAACUCUGUUAUUAGGGAAGAACAAAUGUGUAAGUAACUAUGCACGUCUUGACGGUACCUAAUCAGAAAGCCACGGCUAACUACGUG
Molecule: ribosomal RNA, 497 nt
Filed under: uncultured bacterium
Lineage: Bacteria
Description: partial 16S ribosomal RNA
Rfam family: Bacterial small subunit ribosomal RNA
Source: RNAcentral